Molecule: ribosomal RNA, 253 nt
Filed under: uncultured bacterium
Lineage: Bacteria
Description: partial 16S ribosomal RNA
Rfam family: Bacterial small subunit ribosomal RNA
Source: RNAcentral
UACAGAGGGUGCGAGCGUUGUCCGGAAUCACUGGGCGUAAAGGGCUCGUAGGUGGCCAACUAAGUCAGACGUGAAAUCCCUCAGCUUAACUGGGGAACUGCGUCUGAUACUGGAUGGCUUGAGUUUGGGAGAGGGAUGCGGAAUUCCAGGUGUAGCGGUGAAAUGCGUAGAUAUCUGGAGGAACACCGGUGGCGAAGGCGGCAUCCUGGACCAACACUGACACUGAGGAGCGAAAGCCAGGGGAGCAAACGGG